AAUGGCCGAGACAAAGGAUAGCGAUCCCGCGAGGGUGAGCUAACUCCAAAAACUUGUCCUUAGUUCGGAUUAUAGGAUGCAACUCGCCUACAUAAAG
This is a ribosomal RNA of Lupinus angustifolius (narrow-leaved blue lupine), 97 nucleotides long. It matches the Rfam family "Bacterial small subunit ribosomal RNA", at positions 1229 to 1325 of the family's 1533-position model. NCBI's taxonomy places the organism in Eukaryota, Viridiplantae, Streptophyta, Magnoliopsida, Fabales, Fabaceae. The record is from Rfam.